UCGCGUCCUCCCCGCGCGGCGGACAGCCCGGGCGCCCUUCCUCUCUGCGGGACUGCAGCUGACAAGUUUAUUUAAUCCCUGAACCUGGAUCCAAGGCAUCUCCCUGUAGAAAACAUCAGACCGGGGCAGAGAUUGACAAAGCAACCCAAAGCAGCAGCUGCCAACGGCCGCUGUGCCCACCUCAUCAGCAGCUAAAGAGUAUAAUUUUAAAAAAAGUCACAGAAGAAUGUGGAGACACUUAGCAAAACGGACUCUCAUAAGAGGUUCCCUAUUUUGUCAGUAAGGAAGUAAACAACCGCUAAAACAACCCUCUAACAACAGAAGACCCUCAUGAGAACACCAGGCAGCAGAAGCUUCUUUAGCAGUAAAAGAUAUCUGGAUAUUCAUAUUUUGUUCCAUGAUCUUCAACAUUAAAUAAAUAAACUUAAUAUUC
This 433-nucleotide long non-coding RNA is filed under the name Homo sapiens (human). Its description in RNAcentral is "non-protein coding MCHR2-AS1:3". The record is from RNAcentral. Lineage: Eukaryota; Metazoa; Chordata; Mammalia; Primates; Hominidae.